Molecule: non-coding RNA, 149 nt
Organism: Caenorhabditis elegans
Lineage: Eukaryota; Metazoa; Nematoda; Chromadorea; Rhabditida; Rhabditidae
Source: Ensembl
AAUAGAAUGAAAGUGGACCUGGACUCCGCUGCCGCCAAAAAUUGGAUGGAAUCGGAGGCAAUUAUUAGGCCCUCUUAGGAUAUGUGACAUACACACCGAGAAGUUUUGAUUGAUGACGUGGCACGGGAAACGGAGAAAAAGUUGAAGAU